GGAACCUGCUGCUGGAUCAUU
Molecule: ribosomal RNA, 21 nt
Filed under: Meloidogyne arenaria
Lineage: Eukaryota; Metazoa; Nematoda; Chromadorea; Rhabditida; Meloidogynidae
Also listed under: 1 other name
Description: partial 18S ribosomal RNA
Source: RNAcentral